GAACGCUAGCUACAGGCUUAACACAUGCAAGUCGAGGGGCAGCAUGGUCUUAGCUUGCUAAGGCCGAUGGCGACCGGCGCACGGGUGAGUAACACGUAUCCAACCUGCCGUCUACUCUUGGACAGCCUUCUGAAAGGAAGAUUAAUACAAGAUGGCAUCAUGAGUCCGCAUGUUCACAUGAUUAAAGGUAUUCCGGUAGACGAUGGGGAUGCGUUCCAUUAGAUAGUAGGCGGGGUAACGGCCCACCUAGUCUUCGAUGGAUAGGGGUUCUGGGAGGAAGGUCCCCCACAUUGGAACUGAGACACGGUCCAAACUCCUACGGGAGGCAGCAGUGAGGAAUAUUGGUCAAUGGGCGAGAGCCUGAACCAGCCAAGUAGCGUGAAGGAUGACUGCCCUAUGGGUUGUAAACUUCUUUUAUAAAGGAAUAAAGUCGGGUAUGGAUACCCGUUUGCAUGUACUUUAUGAAUAAGGAUCGGCUAACUCCGUGCCAGCAGCCGCGGUAAUACGGAGGAUCCGAGCGUUAUCCGGAUUUAUUGGGUUUAAAGGGAGCGUAGAUGGAUGUUUAAGUCAGUUGUGAAAGUUUGCGGCUCAACCGUAAAAUUGCAGUUGAUACUGGAUAUCUUGAGUGCAGUUGAGGCAGGCGGAAUUCGUGGUGUAGCGGUGAAAUGCUUAGAUAUCACGAAGAACUCCGAUUGCGAAGGCAGCCUGCUAAGCUGCAACUGACAUUGAGGCUCGAAAGUGUGGGUAUCAAACAGGAUUAGAUACCCUGGUAGUCCACACGGUAAACGAUGAAUACUCGCUGUUUGCGAUAUACUGCAAGCGGCCAAGCGAAAGCGUUAAGUAUUCCACCUGGGGAGUACGCCGGCAACGGUGAAACUCAAAGGAAUUGACGGGGGCCCGCACAAGCGGAGGAACAUGUGGUUUAAUUCGAUGAUACGCGAGGAACCUUACCCGGGCUUAAAUUGCAGAUGAAUUACGGUGAAAGCCGUAAGCCGCAAGGCAUCUGUGAAGGUGCUGCAUGGUUGUCGUCAGCUCGUGCCGUGAGGUGUCGGCUUAAGUGCCAUAACGAGCGCAACCCUUGUUGUCAGUUACUAACAGGUUCCGCUGAGGACUCUGACAAGACUGCCAUCGUAAGAUGUGAGGAAGGUGGGGAUGACGUCAAAUCAGCACGGCCCUUACGUCCGGGGCUACACACGUGUUACGAUGGGGGGUACAGAGGGCCGCUACCACGCGAGUGGAUGCCAAUCCCCAAAACCUCUCUCAGUUCGGACUGGAGUCUGCAACCCGACUCCACGAAGCUGGAUUCGCUAGUAAUCGCGCAUCAGCCACGGCGCGGUGAGUACGUUCCCGGGCCUUGUACACACCGCCCGUCAAGCCAUGGGAGCCGGGGGUACCUGAAGUGCGUAACCGCGAGGAGCGCCCUAGGGUAAAACUGGUGACUGGGGCUAA
RNAcentral lists this ribosomal RNA (1449 nucleotides) under uncultured organism. RNAcentral's name for it is "SSU rRNA". It matches the Rfam family "Bacterial small subunit ribosomal RNA". The record is from RNAcentral.